GUUUCUAAAGCUCUAAGAGUAUGGCCUUGAAGAAGCUAAGGAGGAAGAAUUUCCUAGAAACA
RNAcentral lists this transfer RNA (62 nucleotides) under Anatoecus icterodes. RNAcentral describes it as "tRNA-Phe". The record is from RNAcentral. Lineage: Eukaryota; Metazoa; Arthropoda; Insecta; Psocodea; Philopteridae.